Molecule: ribosomal RNA, 635 nt
Filed under: uncultured Clostridium sp.
Lineage: Bacteria; Bacillati; Bacillota; Clostridia; Eubacteriales; Clostridiaceae
Description: bacterial SSU rRNA
Rfam family: Bacterial small subunit ribosomal RNA
Source: RNAcentral
UAUCAAAGCUCCGGCGGUAUGAGAUGGACCCGCGUCUGAUUAGCUAGUUGGUGAGGUAACGGCUCACCAAGGCAACGAUCAGUAGCCGACCUGAGAGGGUGAUCGGCCACAUUGGAACUGAGACACGGUCCAAACUCCUACGGGAGGCAGCAGUGGGGAAUAUUGCACAAUGGGCGAAAGCCUGAUGCAGCAACGCCGCGUGAGCGAUGAAGGCCUUCGGGUCGUAAAGCUCUGUCCUCAAGGAAGAUAAUGACGGUACUUGAGGAGGAAGCCCCGGCUAACUACGUGCCAGCAGCCGCGGUAAUACGUAGGGGGCUAGCGUUAUCCGGAUUUACUGGGCGUAAAGGGUGCGUAGGCGGUCUUUUAAGUCAGGAGUGAAAGGCUACGGCUCAACCGUAGUAAGCUCUUGAAACUGGAGGACUUGAGUGCAGGAGAGGAGAGUGGAAUUCCUAGUGUAGCGGUGAAAUGCGUAGAUAUUAGGAGGAACACCAGUAGCGAAGGCGGCUCUCUGGACUGUAACUGACGCUGAGGCACGAAAGCGUGGGGAGCAAACAGGAUUAGAUACCCUGGUAGUCCACGCCGUAAACGAUGAGUACUAGCUGUCGGAGGUUACCCCCUUCGGUGGCGCAGCUAAC